ACUGAGAAGGAUAGCAGAUGCCCUGUGUUCAUUUCUGCUGCUGCAGGAGUAGCUUGUCUUUGCUGCAGAGCACAUCAUCACCUGUUGCCAGGCCCCACCAGUUGAGCAUCUAGUGCAUAUCUUCACAGCCUCUCUGAUUUCUGUCCUGCGCUACCGUCUCGCCAGCAAGAACGACGCGGCACACUCAGGAUCCUUCUGCAGUAAAGCUUUAAUGCAUCUUGAGAGGGAGAGCAUAAGCUUAUAGAGCGGAGACCCCGAACUCCCAAAAACCCAUCCCUUAUAUAGGCUGGCAACCGCCGCCUCGGACGUGUCACCCCCUGACUGGCUGCAGCUCAUCGGAUCAUAUGACGCCAUGGGAGAGGCAGAGACCAAGGGAUGGAAAGUUACCCAGCGCCUGCGCACUAACUUGUUUACCAUUCGGUGCCUGCCGGAUGCAGGCGCCAUCUUGUAAUGGAGAAUGCAGGGAUGGCUCCCUACAGAUUCCAAGAUGGCAACUGGCACAAUAGGCAAGGAGGACAGAAUCCCGCAACAUCUCUGCCAUUUCUAAUGGUAGACCAUUAGAAGGAUAGAAGGACCAAGCCUUCUGUCCAUGAGUCUGCGUGGGGCGGCCAGUCCAGAUCCAAGCUAUAGUAAGAACUAAUGGGAUACACCAUCCCCUGGACACAGGCUCAUGGAAACCCACAUAGAGGUAGAAGUCUGACUGGGGACACACUCUAAGGCUUUGGGACAUGGACACAUCUCUUCCCUUCUCUGGACCUCAUUUCUCCCAGCUGGAAAAUAAAACAGUUCAGGGACACACCUUCAGUGGUCCAUUCUAACUCCUCCCUUCCUCAUGAGCCACACACUGUCUAUCUUGGGGAUGUUAGUUCAGGUCAUGAGCUCCCUGAGGCUGAAUCCUUCCCUUUGUUGAAGUUUCAGGGACAUCAGUUUUUGUCCCUGUCACCCCCUUGAUUAGUAUUGACUAAGUGCCCACAAAAACUUUGCCGAGAGCCUGGUUCUGCCCUCUGUCAGGUCCUGUCAGCAAGAGGAGAGGCAGAUGUAUCAUAAAUCUAUAUUUUUUAUAAGACUUAUCGAGGAUGCCUUCUGCUUCCCAGGAUCACAUGGUGGCUCUGUGGAGAAGAGAGCAGGAGGAAGAGGAAGAGAACAACUUCCUCUUUGUCCCUGCUUAUAUUCUGAGUCUGCCUGCUAUGUCACUUCCUGCCUGGAUCACAAGACUUUUUUUACUGCAUUUUCCCAGAAUCCUCCUUGACUCCUAGUCCUGCUUAACUUGCUUCUUCAUUGGCCAACAGUACUUUAUUUAACAACCAAUGAGAUAAACAUACACAGAAGGACUUGCCCCAUCACAUAUUCAUUCUUAUUUUUAGUGGAUGGGUUAGAAUGGUUUGUGUUUCCAUAUGGAAAAGGGCAACCAAUGCCUGUGGGGAUGGACCCAAACAAUGUGAGUUCAGAUGUAUUGUGAAUGUUCAGAACUCCAUGACAAAGAGAAAGUCACUUAGAAAGUGACAGAAGCUGGAAUGCCUGUUGUGUCCUCAACAACAACUAGAAGCUAUAAAGCAGAAAUUAAAAACUUUUGAACUAAAAUUAUUGUCAGUAUCAUCUGUGGGGUAUCAUCUGUGGGGUAAGGGCCAAAUAUGUCAUCUUUAGGUUUGCAGUAUCAGUUUUAUUUUCCUUGAAUUUCUCAGUAAUGUGCUAGAGAAAAUAUUCCACCAGAAUAAGAGAAUGGAUCAGAAAGAGGAAAUGAUACAAGCAAGAGGAAACUGGAGCCUAGACUCCUAGGACCUGUAUAAUCUGCUCACCUGUAAUCCCAGCA
This 1810-nucleotide long non-coding RNA is filed under the name Cricetulus griseus (Chinese hamster). RNAcentral describes it as "lncRNA (ENSCGRG00015031189.1)". Lineage: Eukaryota; Metazoa; Chordata; Mammalia; Rodentia; Cricetidae. The record is from RNAcentral.